AUGCUAGCUGCUACCAUUUUUCUUCCUCGGGGUCGCAGGCACGAAGGGUGCAUCCCCCGCGUGGCGGCGCGGACCCCGUCGCUUCUGUGCCUCAGUCUCCACGCCUGUAGAAUGGGAUUUGCCCGCCUUCGGGGUUGUGGGUAUUCGCGCUGGGGCUGGCACAGUCCGGCCACCGAGGCCAUCCGCCUCGCCCCCCUGAGCUGGGUCCCGCCGAGCGCCGACCGUGGUUGCCCGCGAUGCGGAGGACGCGAGGGUGGAAGGUGCGCGUUGGAGGCCCAGAGGGGUGAAGCGACUGUGCCCAAGGUGACACGGCGGGUGCGCCUGUGCCUCAGAGAGGAGGGAAGUGAAGACUCCGUGCGCAGCCAAUGCUCCUUGGCUCCUGGAGUACCUCGAUUCUACUGCACCUUGCCUUCCAACCCUGAAGCCCAUCCCUGAUCCUUCGGUUCUUGGCAGCCCUGCUCAUAACCCCAGAUCCUUACCACUGAUACAAACCACACGGAAUCCUUCUGGAAAAGGCAGGUCAAAAAGAAACAAUCCACUUCAAGCUCUCAUCUCCUAUCCUAAAACCAACCCAAACCUUAACCUAGCUCACACCUAACUCCUGAGUUAAUCUUGACCUUGGCCCCCUGCCCAACUCUCCAAUCUUCUCUCCCCACCACUGUUCCCACUCCCCCACCUCCAAGUAGCCUCCUUUGAAGGUCUGCUAAAGUCUCCUGAAGCUUAUUUCAAAGCCUCUGGACCUUUGUACAUGCUGUGGGCCCCCCAACUGGAACAUCCUUUUCCUGGGGCCACUGGGUGACCUCUCAGCUGUCACAUCAAUGGUAAGCCGUUUGGGUUUCCACUCCCCACCUGUGCUAUCUUUUCCCCUGGCCAGGCUUUCCAGAGACUCUGAAAUCUCAGAGGAUAGGGUUCAAGUCAGCUAUAAGUAGAAAUUGGGAGGAAAAACAAUUAAUUGCCUGUGACUAAUUGAAUGAAUGAAUGAGCGAGUAAGGAAGCGAAUGAAUGAGGAAUGAAUGGGUGAAUGAGUUAUUGAAUAAACAAGUGAAGAGCUAUCCUGAGCCUGAAUCC
Molecule: long non-coding RNA, 1068 nt
Filed under: Vulpes vulpes (red fox)
Lineage: Eukaryota; Metazoa; Chordata; Mammalia; Carnivora; Canidae
Description: lncRNA (ENSVVUG00000005016.1)
Source: RNAcentral